This 253-nucleotide ribosomal RNA is filed under the name uncultured bacterium. RNAcentral describes it as "partial 16S ribosomal RNA". It matches the Rfam family "Bacterial small subunit ribosomal RNA", at positions 524 to 776 of the family's 1533-position model. The record is from RNAcentral.
UACGGAGGAUGCAAGCGUUAUCCGGAUUUAUUGGGCGUAAAGCGUCCGCAGGUGGCUGAUCAAGUCUGCUGUUAAAGCGUGGAGCUUAACUCCAUACAGGCAGUGGAAACUGAUGAGCUAGAGUCUGGUAGGGGUCACGGGAAUUCCCAGUGUAGCGGUGAAAUGCGUAGAUAUUGGGAAGAACACCAGCGGCGAAAGCGCGUGACUGGGCCGGAACUGACACUCAUGGACGAAAGCUAGGGGAGCGAAAGGG